AUACCCUGAGAAAGAGUACUUUAAAGAGAGGUCUGAAAAUAUUGAAGGUCUAGGCCGUUCGUCUUUUAAGACUUGUUUAUUGUAUGCCAUUGAAGACCUUUUUGCGGCUUUAAGCUAAUAUAAAAAAACGCGGUCGUUUAAUCAGUCAUUGAUAAUGUGGCCAUAGCCAAUAAUUGGCUGAUAGAAGUUCAAAGGGUAAUCUUAAUUUGUGUUUUAUCAUUCGUGAAAUUGAAAGCGCCCGAAACAAAGUGGAAACAACUUGGACAGGUGUAAUUAUGCCAGAACACAGCCGGAUCUACGUCAAUAUCUUCAAUUAAACUUUCGCUUGAGCAUAAUUAAUUUGGAACAUCGGCAAGGGCUGCUCAGGUAGCUAAGGUUUACCAGUUGAAAUCGCUUUAAUUUAUUCCUGAGCUGGGCUAAAUCAAUUUGUAUGCUUUUAAUUAAAUUCAAAUCAGCUUUGAGGGCAAACUUUCGGGUUUGGGGCUCCUGUUGAUUGGAACGUAUGAUAUUUGAUUUCUCAAAUGGGUAUGAGGAUAAUGAGCUGGUGCCUGAACCUGUCAAUGGUAGCUUAAGAUUGCUAGCAGCAUUUUUCUAAAUUAAAUAUUCCGUACAAGCAAUGGGUAAACAGAAUAGAAACAUUUUAUUUACAAUGCCGGACGGUUAAACAAUUUUCCAAGCAAAUCACUUCAGUGGUUCAGCAAAUAGAUCGCUAUUGCUGAUGAUGGCUGAAUGUAAACAGAGCACAUACAGGCAGAAAACAAAAAAAAACUUGGACAAACACUCAGCGAAACAUUGAUGCAAAUGCAGCGCAAUCGAAAAGUGAGACAAAUGCUGCAGGGAGAGAAAUGGUGUCGGAUGCACGGAAAAAUGGAAAAGCAGGCGGUGGAAAUGGAAAAGGGGAUCGCAUCCAGUACGGAAAUUGGAAAUUUCACACUUGGUGAUGGCCCACAAAUUGGUCAACAGCCGUUGCGUGGCACAAACGCAAACACGGAGAACAACAUCC
This is a long non-coding RNA of Drosophila teissieri, 1003 nucleotides long. RefSeq lists it as uncharacterized. The record is from RefSeq and is a predicted model, not a curated record. Lineage: Eukaryota; Metazoa; Arthropoda; Insecta; Diptera; Drosophilidae. The transcript is spliced from 4 exons.